CCUACGGGAGGCAGCAGUAGGGAAUAUUGGGCAAUGGAGGCAACUCUGACCCAGCCAUGCCGCGUGCAGGAUGAAGGCGUUAUGCGUUGUAAACUGCUUUUAUAUAGGAAGAAAGAGUUCUUGCGAGAACAGUUGACGGUACUAUAUGAAUAAGCACCGGCUAACUCCGUGCCAGCAGCCGCGGUAAUACGGAGGGUGCAAGCGUUGUCCGGAUUUAUUGGGUUUAAAGGGUGCGUAGGCGGUUUAUUAAGUCAGUGGUGAAAGACGGUCGCUCAACGAUUGCAGUGCCAUUGAUACUGGUAGACUUGAGUGAGAUUGAGGUAGCUGGAAUGGAUAGUGUAGCGGUGAAAUGCAUAGAUAUUAUCCAGAACACCAAUUGCGUAGGCAAGUUACUAAGUCUCAACUGACGCUGAGGCACGAAAGUGUGGGUAUCAAACAGGAUUAGAUACCCUGGUAGUCCGCACUGUAAACGAUGAUAACUAACUGUUGGCUUUCGGGUCAGUGGUACAGAGAAAUCGUUAAGUUAUCCNCUGGAGACGCGCGACGAGAACGUACGAAGAAGUAGAGACGUGAGAGAGACGACGGACGACGACGAGGGGAGGAGG
RNAcentral lists this ribosomal RNA (605 nucleotides) under uncultured bacterium. Its description in RNAcentral is "bacterial SSU rRNA". The stretch from base 1 to 532 matches the Rfam family "Bacterial small subunit ribosomal RNA", at positions 338 to 873 of the family's 1533-position model. The record is from RNAcentral.